This 73-nucleotide transfer RNA is filed under the name Syntrophobacteraceae bacterium. RNAcentral describes it as "tRNA-Met". It matches the Rfam family "tRNA". Rfam says of the family: Transfer RNA (tRNA) molecules are approximately 80 nucleotides in length. Their secondary structure includes four short double-helical elements and three loops (D, anti-codon, and T loops). The record is from RNAcentral. Lineage: Bacteria; Pseudomonadati; Thermodesulfobacteriota; Syntrophobacteria; Syntrophobacterales; Syntrophobacteraceae.
GGCGGCGUAGCUCAGGUGGUAGAGCAUACGGCUCAUAUCCGUAGCGUCCGGGGUUCGAAACCCUGCGCCGCCA